Molecule: ribosomal RNA, 1509 nt
Filed under: Triticum aestivum (bread wheat)
Lineage: Eukaryota; Viridiplantae; Streptophyta; Magnoliopsida; Poales; Poaceae
Description: partial small subunit ribosomal RNA
Source: RNAcentral
AUGGUAUCAACCCUAACCGGUCCAAUGUCUUCUGCUGCCGCCGCCGCGACCGCAUCGACAUCCGCCGCCGCCGCCGUCACGCCGAAUCCUGUCACGGCGCCUGCGUCGCCGUUCCUCUCAUCGCGCCCCCUGGCCUCGGUCUACUCCGGCCAGGCCUCGAUGGCGGGGGCUGCGUCCGAUCAGCAGCCACCAUCAUCCCCGAUCGCACCACCGCCGGCUUGGGGCGCUGCGUACCCUGACCCGGCGGCCCCCUGGAUGGGAUCGGCGCCCUACGGGGCUCCUCCUCCGCCGAACGCAGGGCCCUACGGGGCUCCUCCUGUGGCUGCUGCGACCAACGCCGCCGCCCCGUACGGAUUGCCAUAUCCGGCCGCCGCGGCUACGGCGCUCUACACCGCCCCCGCUCCACAGCCCUACGGCGCCACGAACAGCGGGUCGGGACGGGCACCGGCCGUGCCCUACGGUGCCCCGCCACCGCCACUGCCCUACGGUGGGUAUUAUCCACCUCCGCUGGCCACGUCCUACCCUGGAGCUCCUGCACCGGCUGCACCGUCCUCGACGCUGGGCCCUGGUGCAUCUGCUGGAUCGUCCCACAUGGGCUACUACACGUCGCCUCCCGUUGCUGAUCAUGCCGCGGCCGUUGCAUCGUUCUACUUCGCGCAUCUCAUCCCGGUGAAGCUUACGACAGACAAUUAUCUGUCAUGGCGUGCACAGGUGUUGCCGCUUCUCCGCAGUCGCUACCUGGAGGGCUACGUCGAUGGUUCCCUGCCAUGCCCUCCACCGCACCAUCCGGCGUAUCAUGCAUGGGUCGCUCAGGAUCUGGCCAUCCUCUCCGCGAUCCAGUCGUCGCUCACCGAGGGGGUGUCCUCCUUGGUCCUCUUCGCUGCCACGUCUCAGGAGGCGUGGUCUGCUCUUCACACGAGCUUCGCAUCUCAGCAGCAUGCGCGCGCUCACACUAUUCGUACGGAGCUGGGGGAGACCAAGCUCCUUGACCUCAGCAUCGCCGACUAUUUUGGCAAGAUGACGCGUCUCGCCGAUACCUUGGCCUUCAUUGGCCAGCCGCUUCGUAAGGAGGACUUCACCACCUUCGUCAUGAACGGACUGGAUGACGACUAUGAUAACCUUGCUGAAAAUAUCAAUGGUCGUGACACCACUCUUGAACCUCGUGAGCUCUACGCCCGCCUCCUCGCCACGGAACAGCGCAUCAAGUCCCGCCGUUCUAACCCGAGUUUUAUUGCUGCCAAUGCUGCCACGCGUGGUAAAGGGAAGCCCUUCAAGUCACCAACCGGCGGCAAGUCAGUGCCAUCGACUCCACAGACUCAGCGGCCGCCCGCCGCCGCCACCCUGCCUACGACCGGGGGUGGUCGUCCGUGUGCCUGCUGCCCCUCAUGUGGCGUUCAGCUCCCCUGUCAGCUGUGCAACCUUCCAGGUCACAUCGCUUCCCGCUGUCAUCGCCGCUUCAAGCAGGACUUCCUCGGCAUCGGCAACAAUGGCAAAGGCAACGAGAAGUAG